This 361-nucleotide long non-coding RNA is filed under the name Physcomitrium patens. Its description in RNAcentral is "long non-coding RNA (PPAT_LNC014902)". Lineage: Eukaryota; Viridiplantae; Streptophyta; Bryopsida; Funariales; Funariaceae. The record is from RNAcentral.
CUUGGAUACUCAAGAUUUAUAUUUAAGCAUUUGCUUGGAUUUGUUCCCACCCAAAAUAUUGAUGCUUCAUUGCUUGAAGUUGUAUGCACCUUGAAAGCAUCUCCUACAAAUAUCUUCAUUCCUCCUUUACCAAAAUUUGUCUCUAAUUUUUCUCCACUCUCUUCUAAGUGUAUCAUACCAUCUUUAAAAAAAAAAUUCCUUUGCGUAGCACCUCUGAAAAAUCUCCACACUCCCAUCUUAAAUGAUCUAUGCUAUCACACCACAUGCACCUAUGCACCAUACCUUCUAUUGGUCUUAAAUUUUGUCUUCUUGAUAUUCUUGAUGAUUGACCCAUCUCUUUAAGUUUUGUAAAUUUUAUUUG